Vigna umbellata (rice bean) is the source of this 1189-nucleotide non-coding RNA. NCBI's taxonomy places the organism in Eukaryota, Viridiplantae, Streptophyta, Magnoliopsida, Fabales, Fabaceae. The record is from RefSeq and is a predicted model, not a curated record.
GCGAGGGACUGGAGGGGGUGUAGGUGGCGAAAACAGAGUGGCGGAAGGAAGCGUUGGAGAGGGAAUCAAAGUCAGCCUUGCGCUUGGAGGGGUGAUAGGGGCACUGUUGGAUAUCCUUAGAGGAGGAAGGUUGGCAGGGAUUGAAGUUAUGUUGCGGAUGAAUGGGAUGAGAAAGGAAUAGGGGUUUGCGUCAAUGCGAGUGGGGCUGGGGAAGAUGAAUGGGGGAGAAGGAAGGAGCUGUCUUGUUUGUGGAAGAGGUUUUGAGGCGCGGAAUCCCUUAUGCUUCGGAGGAUAAAGAAGGGCAUAAAGGAGGGUCAACCGGGUAUCUUGCUUGGAAGAUGAUGGUAAGCAGUUGAUAUUCGAUUUUUUUUAGUAGCAGUAGUGAUCUUUGAGGUUGAGUAAAGGGAGCUUCAUGAGAUGCUCCUCUUAUGAUGGCAUAUGAUAAGAUGUCCCCAUAUGUUUGUGUCCAUCCUACUACCUGAAAUAUGUGUUCCAAAUCAAGGUUAAGUGAAUGCCAAAUCUAUACAGGAAUUCAAUUUUGUAAAUAUUGCCUUCCAAGUAUUUGUUUUUAUUUACUUGUUCUUCCUCAAACCAGGCUUUAUAGGCCACUGUGGUCUCAAGUCCAAUUUCCUUGGCUAAUCCAUUCACUAGAUAUCUCGAACUUGUUAAUGGAAUCACUGAGUCUUGAUCACCACUGCAUACAGAAAUGACUUUGAUUGCUUCAUAAAUGCUAUGUGGAGUCAGCUAAAUGUCAGGGAUUAAACAAAUUCAAUUACUUGUAUACCAGGACCCUACUAAAAUCAGAUGGAAAUUUUUUGUGGUCUAUCACUUUUCCAUUUUUUCUGAUCAUAAAUAUUUGCAUCUCUAAAGCCCAACAUCAGUGUGCAUUCAGUAGGGUCCACACAUCAUUGUGAUUUCUCAAUGUAGCUAUUGGAUUACACAAUGUUGGAUUCCAUUGUUAAGAAGAAAAAGGGUUGUGAAAAUGCUCUAAGACUAUGUGUGUAUGGAUUGAUAGACAGGUCUUUCCAUAUCAGUACAUGGAAAAUGAAAUGAUAUUGUGCUAAUCUUUUGUUUUUGAGGCAGAUUUGUAUACUUGGAGCACUGAUUUUCUUGGUGCUUGCUUACGUAUAUAGUUUGUAUAGUUUUAAUGUGAAAUGGAACAAUACCAGUGGAACAACAAUGUUGUACU